Long non-coding RNA from Cyprinus carpio carpio, 2426 nucleotides. Lineage: Eukaryota; Metazoa; Chordata; Actinopteri; Cypriniformes; Cyprinidae. The record is from Ensembl.
GUUUAUAAGCAGAGGAAGAUGCAUGUACUCGUCGUGGUACGAAUUUUUGGUAUUUUUGUUUUCUUUGCAUGCAAAAAAUUAUUCUUGUAGCUUCAUAAUAUUAUGGUUGAACCAUUGAUGUCAGUCACAUGGACUAUAUUUUAACAAUAUGGAUUUCAUCAGAAAUAUCUUAUUUACAUUCAGAAGAUGAACAAAGGUCAAAGGUACACAUGAGGGUGAGUAAUUAACGAAAAAAAUAAUAAUAAUUUGGUCAUAUGAUGAGAUUUCAAGUUUUCCUUUCUCUUUUUGGAGUGUAACAAGCUGUUCUUGAAUAGAUAAGAUCCCUAAAGUUGCAAAGACUAAAGUCUCAAACCCAAAAAGAUAUUCUUUAUAAAAGUUAAGACUCGUCCACACCAUCCUAAAACGCCUUGUUGCAUCACAAUGUGGGAAGAUUUGCAUAACACUGCCCAUAUGUUCACACAAAGAAAGAAGGCAUAACUUUGAUUAUCGCUGUAGUGUUGUUGCUGCCGCCGUGUUGUGGAGAUGCUGUGUUUCCUUGUGAAAGCGAAACUACUUUGUUUGGCCUUCCAUAAGAGGACACAACUAGAAAUCAGUGGUUAAGUUAUAUUUACAACACUGUUCCAGAACAGUUCAACCCAAAUAUUCAGAUGUGUGCAGCGCAUUUUAUGGAGGACUGUUUCCUGAUCCUGGGAGAGUAGAUUACAAUGCCGGCCGUUCUGACACACAGUCUGUAAGUAUGUUUACAUAUUUAAAGAAUUUGCCACUGAUGAUUCAAAUGUGUAUUUUGAGCAGUGUAGAGUAGCGCUUGUUGUUUCUUGUUUCUCUGAUCACAAAUGUAGACAUGGUUUUAUGUUUAUGCAGUGCGAUGCAAUGCAAUGCGUAAAAAGACAGUAAAAGUCAUUAUAAACAGUAAUUAUGUCCUCACUGGAUGCAACAAAUGGCUCUUUGUAAUGGGUUUUAUUGUUUUUGUCUUGUCACGCCGGUGUUCUGACCGGGACAAUCCACUGGAUAGCUGGCCAAUCAGAGCAAACCUAGCUUUUCAGAACGAUGAGCUUCGUAAAAAUCUACACGUUUCAGAAAGUGUCUCGAUUUCUCUACGCUUGGAAUAGAAGCAAUCUCAAAUAUCAAGCGGGCCGUAGGUCUGAAGCAGCUUAUGACGCUCCACUAACCUCAGCGGAGGAGAUAAACUCCUACAGUAGAGGAAAGCAGCUCUCAGGUCAGCGUAGACUCAGCACUAAGUGUUGAUAUUCAUCAUGAUCGCUUUGUUAAGACAUUAGGGUCUCGGGGAGGAAAGCGCUACCAGGUGGCUACUGGCUGUGUACAGCUCCUCCAGUAUGACCUCAUCCUGCUACCUUUUUGUAGAAGCAUAACCGAGAGCUUGUAUUUCCUGAGAGUUAUCGUUAAUAAUAGACAACUAGCAGCUUCAGUGAGCGAUCUGACAUUUAGUGCAUUAAAGAAGAAAUCCUAAUAUGCCAUCUUGAUGUAAAAUUAUGCUUAAACCACAAAGCCUUUGAGAGGUUAUUAAAGGCUUAUGUAAGUUUCAUGACAGGCUACAAGGAAUUUACAGAUUUAUGAAGGAGAAUAGUUAUUAUUUUACACAUUUAUAGCACUGGAAUCCAGACUGACAUGAAAUUUUAUGUUUGACUUAAGAGGCUGUUUGAAUGCUGAGAGGAAAGAGGCUGUUAUUUUCUGCCUGCUUAAGUAAAUGUUUGCCAAAUGGGACUAAAUGGUACGUUUAACACACUAUACUUCACUUGUGCCUGGAAUACUUAAUUCUGAUUGGUUAGUUCAACCUGAGCUCAUGAGAAAACACAAGUUUUUUGGGAGUUGGCAAUUUCGUAUGAAUUCAUUUAAUUCAUAAGAAGGCCGUAGAAAAAAAAAAUCAAAUUAAAUUGUGUGAAUUCAUACAAAUUCAAUACCAAUUCAGCAAAAUUGCACUAUUUUUUAAAUAAUGACGACUUAACAGUGUAAUUUAAUGUUGUCCCAGGCUCCACUUUGUAUCGAGUUGUAGUUUUUUUUCCAAUAAUGACCAGUCAACUGUAAUUAUAACUUACUUGACUAAUGAACAUUGUUUUAGCUUUGUCAGAGAAACCAUUAAGUGGAAUAGAAACUACAUACUUUGCAUAUGGGGAGGACCGGUACUGACUAGAAAGUCAAUAAAAAGUGAAAAAGUACCCAAUUCACUUACUUUGAAACCGGACUCACAGUGAAUUUCAAAAUAUCAUAAAAUUUAGUACGGUUUAUGCUUAAAAUAUUAAACAUUUCAUUUAUCACAUUCAUUUUCUUGUUUUAAGAAUGAUUAAACAUUUUAGUGAAUUUUUUAAUAUUUUAUGGCUGAGCACAGAUUUACGAAUUUUCUAAGUUUAGAAUUUUCUGAUGUUUCCAGGCUUUCUUUUACAAUCCAAACCCAGUUUUUGUAUUUAAAC